UCCUGACUGACCGAUAGUGAACCAGUACCGUGAGGGAAAGGCGAAAAGAACCCCGGCGAGGGGAGUGAAAAAGAACCUGAAACCGUGUACGUACAAGCAGUGGGAGCCUCUUAAUGGGGUGACUGCGUACCUUUUGUAUAAUGGGUCAGCGACUUAUAUUCUGUAGCAAGGUUAACCGAAUAGGGGAGCCGAAGGGAAACCGAGUCUUAACUGGGCGUUAAGUUGCAGGGUAUAGACCCGAAACCCGGUGAUCUAGCCAUGGGCAGGUUGAAGGUUGGGUAACACUAACUGGAGGACCGAACCGACUAAUGUUGAAAAAUUAGCGGAUGACUUGUGGCUGGGGGUGAAAGGCCAAUCAAACCGGGAGAUAGCUGGUUCUCCCCGAAAGCUAUUUAGGUAGCGCCUCGUGAAUUCAUCUCCGGGGGUAGAGCACUGUUUCGGCAAGGGGGUCAUCCCGACUUACCAACCCGAUGCAAACUGCGAAUACCGGAGAAUGUUAUCACGGGAGACACACGGCGGGUGCUAACGUCCGUCGUGAAGAGGGAAACAACCCAGACCGCCAGCUAAGGUCCCAAAGUCAUGGUUAAGUGGGAAACGAUGUGGGAAGGCCCAGACAGCCAGGAUGUUGGCUUAGAAGCAGCCAUCAUUUAAAGAAAGCGUAAUAGCUCACUGGUCGAGUCGGCCUGCGCGGAAGAUGUAACGGGGCUAAACCAUGCACCGAAGCUGCGGCAGCGACACUAUGUGUUGUUGGGUAGGGGAGCGUUCUGUAAGCCUGUGAAGGUGGCCUGUGAGGGUUGCUGGAGGUAUCAGAAGUGCGAAUGCUGACAUAAGUAACGAUAAAGCGGGUGAAAAGCCCGCUCGCCGGAAGACCAAGGGUUCCUGUCCAACGUUAAUCGGGGCAGGGUGAGUCGACCCCUAAGGCGAGGCCGAAAGGCGUAGUCGAUGGGAAACAGGUUAAUAUUCCUGUACUUGGUGUUACUGCGAAGGGGGGACGGAGAAGGCUAUGUUGGCCGGGCGACGGUUGUCCCGGUUUAAGCGUGUAGGCUGGUUUUCCAGGCAAAUCCGGAAAACCAAGGCUGAGGCGUGAUGACGAGGCACUACGGUGCUGAAGUGACAAAUGCCCUGCUUCCAGGAAAAGCCUCUAAGCAUCAGGUAACAUCAAAUCGUACCCCAAACCGACACAGGUGGUCAGGUAGAGAAUACCAAGGCGCUUGAGAGAACUCGGGUGAAGGAACUAGGCAAAAUGGUGCCGUAACUUCGGGAGAAGGCACGCUGAUAUGUAGGUGAAGCGACUUGCUCGUGGAGCUGAAAUCAGUCGAAGAUACCAGCUGGCUGCAACUGUUUAUUAAAAACACAGCACUGUGCAAACACGAAAGUGGACGUAUACGGUGUGACGCCUGCCCGGUGCCGGAAGGUUAAUUGAUGGGGUUAGCGGUAACGCGAAGCUCUUGAUCGAAGCCCCGGUAAACGGCGGCCGUAACUAUAACGGUCCUAAGGUAGCGAAAUUCCUUGUCGGGUAAGUUCCGACCUGCACGAAUGGCGUAAUGAUGGCCAGGCUGUCUCCACCCGAGACUCAGUGAAAUUGAACUCGCUGUGAAGAUGCAGUGUACCCGCGGCAAGACGGAAAGACCCCGUGAACCUUUACUAUAGCUUGACACUGAACAUUGAGCCUUGAUGUGUAGGAUAGGUGGGAGGCUUUGAAGUGUGGACGCCAGUCUGCAUGGAGCCGACCUUGAAAUACCACCCUUUAAUGUUUGAUGUUCUAACGUUGGCCCCUAAUCGGGGUUGCGGACAGUGUCUGGUGGGUAGUUUGACUGGGGCGGUCUCCUCCUAAAGAGUAACGGAGGAGCACGAAGGUUGGCUAAUCCUGGUCGGACAUCAGGAGGUUAGUGCAAUGGCAUAAGCCAGCUUGACUGCGAGCGUGACGGCGCGAGCAGGUGCGAAAGCAGGUCAUAGUGAUCCGGUGGUUCUGAAUGGAAGGGCCAUCGCUCAACGGAUAAAAGGUACUCCGGGGAUAACAGGCUGAUACCGCCCAAGAGUUCAUAUCGACGGCGGUGUUUGGCACCUCGAUGUCGGCUCAUCACAUCCUGGGGCUGAAGUAGGUCCCAAGGGUAUGGCUGUUCGCCAUUUAAAGUGGUACGCGAGCUGGGUUUAGAACGUCGUGAGACAGUUCGGUCCCUAUCUGCCGUGGGCGCUGGAGAACUGAGGGGGGCUGCUCCUAGU
Molecule: ribosomal RNA, 2223 nt
Filed under: Escherichia coli
Lineage: Bacteria; Pseudomonadati; Pseudomonadota; Gammaproteobacteria; Enterobacterales; Enterobacteriaceae
Description: partial 23S ribosomal RNA
Rfam family: Bacterial large subunit ribosomal RNA
Source: RNAcentral